This 675-nucleotide long non-coding RNA is filed under the name Pongo abelii (Sumatran orangutan). RNAcentral describes it as "lincRNA". The record is from RNAcentral. Lineage: Eukaryota; Metazoa; Chordata; Mammalia; Primates; Hominidae.
GUGGAGCUGGAAAGGUGGAGGCGGAAGUGACUGAUCAAUUCAGGGGUGUGGGGUUCGUUUAGGUUUUGCCCUGUGUAUGACCUCUUUUGGAGCCAUGAAACCAGAGUUUCACUCUUGUUGACCAAGCUGCAGUGCAAUGGCGUGAUCUCGGCUCACUGCAAUCUCUGCCUCCCAGGUUCAAGUGAUUCUCCUGCCUCAGCCUUCUGAGUAGAUGGGAUUACAGAAAGCUCUUCCACAAGUUCACCAAUGGAAAUAACAUCAAGAGUUUUUCAUCGUCUUAGUGUGCAAGGUAUGGAUAUUCUGUGUGUGAACUUCAAGAGUAUCUAAGGGAGGCAAUAAUGCGGUUGAGAAUAUACCAAAGACUACAAACUGUCUGUGCAUCCCAGAGGAACAGGAAGCUUGUGCAGGUGAAAAGACUGGAGGAGGAAGUAUGUUGAUGAUACCCAGGAAGCCCACCUUCCACUUCUUUGGUCAUCAGAAAUGUCUGAGGAAUAGUCUUAGUGGAUUAUCCCAAACUUGACACAUUUUUUGCAAAAUGCUAUACAAAAAGAAGAUACAUGUGAUUAUGACAAGAUUCUCCACUUGGUGUGACCGGUCUCAUACAACCCAAGGCUGUGUGUCCAAACGCAAUUGCACUGAUCUUGACAAUAAUCAAAAUGUAGCCAGGUGCAUUGG